UUUACUGAUGAAUCCAAAUUUAUUGUCAACUUAAAAAGAAAUAAAGCCCAAAUCAGAAUUGUAUUGUGGAGAUAUGUGAAGAGAUUGAAAACACAAAAUUGAUAUCAACACUGCAGCUACAUACAUCUCAGCAAGACAGAGAACUAGUUCACAUUGCCUAUUCUAACACAUACAAUUCUUCAGAUUUACCAAGACACCCACAGAUAACAAUGUUGGUUGAAAGAAAACUUUUACUUUUAAUUUGGAAUGAUGAACAAAAAAAAUAAUUAAUUUGUUUCAAAUGUUUCACAUAUCUCAGAAUGCUAUAGUGUCAAGGAGUUCGUCAAUUCUUUGACAUUGGCACAAAGAUUAUAAAUUGUGAAAGGAAAGCAGUUAAAGGGUUAAAAGUGUGCUGGGGAUCAUGGUUAUAAUUAUUUCCAUUAUAGGAGAUUAAAAGUCAGGUGAGCAGUUAUAUAAUGGAACACUUAUAAGUCAGUUUAUACAAAUAAAAAGAUGUUUGUGGACAUUAUGUCUUUUUCUAUGCUACUUGCAGAACAGACCACAGAAAAGAAUCAUGUCAAUGUUUGAUGUAAUCUUUCUAAGGCUAUUCUUGAAGCCUGAAGGUAGCAGCUACAACUAGGCAAUAUUUAAUGAUUAGCAAAAUGCUUAAAAACGAAUAUAAAAUAACCAUGAAAUUAACUAUUACAGGCCAUGGAAAUUAGAAGUGUCUUCACUCUUUUUACAUUCUAGCUCUACAUUAUUACAAAUCCUAUG
Non-coding RNA from Biomphalaria pfeifferi, 753 nucleotides. Lineage: Eukaryota; Metazoa; Mollusca; Gastropoda; Planorbidae. The record is from the annotation of a GenBank genome assembly.